UUGCAGUGGCGAAUCUGUGUUGUUGUUUCCUGUUAGCAAUGGUAGCAGGGAUGCCGGAUCUGAAUGGAAAGGGUGCCUGGUGGUGUGCUCACAAGGGUUCCGAUGGAGAUGGGCUUCAGCAAAGGUGGCGAUGGCUGAAGAAAAUGCAGAGAGCGAGAUUGUGGGCUGCGAAUGGGAUCUCAGAGACGGAAAUGAUGGCGGAUCUGAGUGUUGGUCUAGCAGAGUAGUGUCUGUGACAGGGUUUUGCCGGAUUUGCAGGUGACGGCUGGUGUGGCUGCGGUGGUGAUUUGGCAAGGUGGUGGUGCUUGUGAUGAGAAUGAUGGAGAUGAAUGGUGUGGAUCAAAGGCCCCAAAUCGAGCCACGGGGGUGCUCGAGCUGCAGAGUAUGUUAAACAACAUUAUCUUACGCCACACAUGCAUGAAAGUGGUGGUAUGGAUACAGAGAAUAGCACUUUACCAAGCAUGAUUUUUCUCAAGCAAGGUAGGAGUAGCCGCCACGUGGACCAGUCACUCCACCGUCUCUCAAGUUUGAGGUUGAAGCAGCAAGGUGCACCACCUUCUCCAACAUGUAUUAUGGUCCAAUCCAUGAAUUUUCAGGUCACCCUCAUGCUGAAGUUGUGUUGAUAUGUUCCAUUGAAUUGAACUGCAAUAAUACUACUUUAAUAAGAUAGCCCCAGUCAGCUCUGUUCAUGAUGAGGGACUAGCCCCCAAAUUGCAACUACUAUCGAGUCCAACAUGAAAUGCACAAAAUUGAAAUUUUGAUUGUCAUUGCAGGUUAAAAAAGGCACUAGCCCACUUCAAUCAUUUCCUCAGAUAAUGAAUUGAAUGAAUUAUAAUUCAAUUCAAUCAAGCAUCCAAAACACUUUUGAGUGAAACCAACCUUUCAUAUGGUUGGCAUUAACGCCUGAUCUUGAUAAACAAAGUGCAUGAGAUCAGUGUACAAAACUGCAUGGAACAAAUAUGAUAAGAUAAUGGAAAAAAGAAAAGAACAGAAAGGGCCAAAUGAUACCAAUUCGCUUGCAUGUUUACCGGAAAUUCAAAGUUGUGAUGCAUAUGUUUUCACAGUCCAGUCACUCAACUGGUGGUCACUAAUCACUAUGUUUUUGUCAUUCCUAAAUAUAAUAAAAUCAUCUCUGAUCUGGUCAAUAUACUGUUGAACCAAAGAGCAGAAACAAACUUUAGAUAUCCACAAGGACAUCUUGCCUUAAAGAUGAAAAGGAAGGCAUCAGCAGCUCAUAUUGGUUGAAAUAAUUGCACCCAGCCAACGGAUGCAUUACACGGGUUCCCAACUGAAAAUGGGUGAAAACCUGUGCAGCAUGCCAACACCUGAUUCAGUGCGUGCCCAUGAAGUACCAAACCAAAUCAGACCUCUAACAUGAAUAUCAAGAGUCUUGGAUUACCAAAGCGACCAGAAAUUCACCAUCACCACCUACACUUCCACUUGCGUUCUUUUUACAACGAUUACAGUCAAUGAACCUGCGCCCGGGCUCAAGACAAUUUUUAGCUUCACUGUUCCUGAUCAAAAGUCUGGCAAGGUAUCAGGAUAUUGCAUCUAGGCUCAUAGAUCUCUCCAUUAUCACUUGCAUGCAACUUGCAGAUAAGCUCUGGAAUUAGAACUAAUAGACUAUAUUUGCAUUUUGCAACUUUCAGGUAUCGAAUCUGUUUAUUUGUGGGAGGGUAAGGAUGAGUUGUUGUGGGGAGCUGCUUAGCUGCACAAAGCCACCAAAAACCCAGCUUAUCUGAACUACAUUCAAGCGAAUGACUCAAGAGGUAACAGUGAAGCUGGAAGAGAAGCUAGAGGAUUUGCAUUUCUCAGACAAAACACGUCAUCAUUCCAAACCAUCUUCAUGUCCCUGAAGCUGAGAGAAGUGGAUUGAGUUUCGGAAGCUUUGAUGCUAGUUUUGGGCUUAAUGCAAUCUUCACAAAUGGCCCAGAUACUGGCAAGAGCUCUACACCUUUGUCCGAGUCAUCUUAGGUGAUCAAAGAGUCAGCUAAGGAGCCUUCUUCAAGGUCUGAAACCUUUUCCCGCCUGUUAUCACUUUUCCUAUCAUGUGUAGAAGAGUAGUUUUGAGCUCUUUUGGCUCAUCGUAUUAGAAGGGAUGUUUGUUCAUCUUACAUGGACAGUUGCAAAUGCAUCCCUUAUUUGCAUAUUUCAGUGAUAAAUGAUCUUUAACUUCUGUUGACUUUCGAGAAGUGGUAUUCUGAAAGACAAAACGUCCUGAGAAUUGUAGGUUGAUCAUGGGUUUUGAAAGACCUGCUCAAUGUCAAUGUAGAUGUAUCUGUAUAAUAUAGGUCUUGCUGCAAUUCCAAUGCAAAGUAUGACUAUUUUCCUCUGUUUCCCAAGUACAACAGU
This is a long non-coding RNA of Magnolia sinica, 2352 nucleotides long. RefSeq lists it as uncharacterized. The record is from RefSeq and is a predicted model, not a curated record. The transcript is spliced from 6 exons. Lineage: Eukaryota; Viridiplantae; Streptophyta; Magnoliopsida; Magnoliales; Magnoliaceae.